UACGUAGGCAGCGAGCGUUGUUCGGAGUUACUGGGCGUAAAGGGUGUGUAGGCGGUUGCUUAAGUUUGGUGUGAAAUCUCCCGGCUUAACCGGGAGGGUGCGCCGAAUACUGAGUGACUUCGAGUGCGGGAGAGGAAAGUGGAAUUCCUGGUGUAGCGGUGAAAUGCGUAGAUAUGACUCGGAAGGCCAAAGGCGAAGGCAGGUUACUGGUACGCAACUGACGCUGAGGCACGAAAGCGUGGGGAGCAAACAGG
This 254-nucleotide ribosomal RNA is filed under the name uncultured bacterium. RNAcentral describes it as "partial 16S ribosomal RNA". It matches the Rfam family "Bacterial small subunit ribosomal RNA", at positions 524 to 776 of the family's 1533-position model. The record is from RNAcentral.